UUUGGCUCAGGAUGAACGCUGGCGGCGUGCCUAACACAUGCAAGUCGAACGGUGUAAUGAUUGAAGUUUUCGGACAGAUAUCAUUACAUAGUGGCGGACGGGUGAGUAACGCGUGGAGAACCUGCACUGUACUGGGGGAUAGCAGCUGGAAACGGCUGGUAAUACCGCAUGAGACCACGGGAGGGCAUCCUCCUGAGGCAAAAGAUUUAUCGGUACAGGAUGGAUCCGCGUUUGAUUAGCCAGUUGGCGGGGUAACGGCCCACCAAAGCGACGAUCAAUAGCCGGCCUGAGAGGGCGGACGGCCACAUUGGGACUGAGACACGGCCCAGACUCCUACGGGAGGCAGCAGUGGGGAAU
This 357-nucleotide ribosomal RNA is filed under the name uncultured rumen bacterium. RNAcentral describes it as "bacterial SSU rRNA". It matches the Rfam family "Bacterial small subunit ribosomal RNA", at positions 18 to 362 of the family's 1533-position model. The record is from RNAcentral.